Long non-coding RNA from Cyprinus carpio carpio, 360 nucleotides. NCBI's taxonomy places the organism in Eukaryota, Metazoa, Chordata, Actinopteri, Cypriniformes, Cyprinidae. The record is from Ensembl.
CUUGUGUUCAGUGUCUCCUGUUGGAUUAUUAAAGACUCAUUUUGUGAAAUCUCCAUGUUUCCUCGUUCCCUUGCUCCAGCAUAUCAUGACAGUGUAAACUUCUGGAGUGCUGCAUCAGUGGACAAACUGACUUAUGGUCUUAAGCUACAAGUUGACAAGUAUCCGCAAGAACAGUGAGUCGCCAAGGACUUUCCUUUUCUUAAUUAUGAUGACGCAUUUGGUGGUGUGCCAGAGAAGCACUUUCCUGUGCCACGGAGCAUCUUUAUUUUCUACCAUCUACAAGAGCUGCAGAAGGGGUCCCUGUGCUCUCGGGGGACUGUAACACCAUUUAUUCCUGAUUCUUUUAAGAUUUCAGAGCAC